GAUGAAGAACGUAGCGAAACGCGAUAAGUAAUGUGAAUUGCAGAAUCCAGUGAAUCAUCGAAUCUUUGAACGCACAUUGCGCCCGCCAGUAUUCUGGCGGGCAUGCCUGUUCGAGCGUCAUUACAACCCUCAGGCCCCCGGGCCUGGCGUUGGGGAUCGGCGGAGCCCCCCGUGGGCACACGCCGUCCCCCAAAUACAGUGGCGGUCCCGCCGCAGCUUCCAUCGCGUAGUAGCUAACACCUCGCGACUGGAGAGCGGCGCGGCCACGCCGUAAAACACCCAACUCUUCUGAAGUUGACCUCGAAUCAGGUAGGAAUACCCGCUGAACUUAAGCAUAUCAAUAAGCGGAGGA
RNAcentral lists this unclassified non-coding RNA (352 nucleotides) under soil metagenome. RNAcentral's name for it is "partial contains 5.8S ribosomal RNA, internal transcribed spacer 2, and large subunit ribosomal RNA". The stretch from base 1 to 120 matches the Rfam family "5.8S ribosomal RNA", at positions 35 to 154 of the family's 154-position model. The record is from RNAcentral.